Sinocyclocheilus anshuiensis is the source of this 190-nucleotide long non-coding RNA. RefSeq lists it as uncharacterized. The transcript is spliced from 3 exons. The record is from RefSeq and is a predicted model, not a curated record. Lineage: Eukaryota; Metazoa; Chordata; Actinopteri; Cypriniformes; Cyprinidae.
CCGAAGCCACAAGGACGCUCAGAUGAGCUGAAGCACUGCAUAAAGACACUCGCGACAUCAGUGGACGACACAAUGGCCGACAGGGAAGGCAGAUCCGGUGACCGGAAGACCAGGGAAAGACGCAAUAGGAGCAAGAGCAUGGAUGGACGCCCCAAAAUGGACAGUAGUCCAGAUUUGGAUUGCCCUGACA